GUGAAAUAGAACCUGAAACCGUGUACGUACAAGCAGUAGGAGCACCUUCGUGGUGUGACUGCGUACCUUUUGUAUAAUGGGUCAGCGACUUAAUUUUAGUAGCAAGGUUAACCGUUUAGGGGAGCCGUAGGGAAACCGAGUCUUAACUGGGCGUACAGUUGCUAGGAUUAGACCCGAAACCAGGUGAUCUAGCCAUGGGCAGGUUGAAGGUUGAGUAACAUCAACUGGAGGACCGAACCGACUAAUGUUGAAAAAUUAGCGGAUGACUUGUGGCUAGGGGUGAAAGGCCAAUCAAACCUGGAGAUAGCUGGUUCUCCCCGAAAGCUAUUUAGGUAGCGCCUCGGACGAAUACUACUGGGGGUAGAGCACUGUUAAGGCUAGGGGGUCAUCCCGACUUACCAACCCUUUGCAAACUCCGAAUACCAGUAAGUACUAUCCGGGAGACACACGGCGGGUGCUAACGUCCGUCGUGGAGAGGGAAACAACCCAGACCGCCAGCUAAGGUCCCAAAGUAUAGCUAAGUGGGAAACGAUGUGGGAAGGCUCAGACAGCCAGGAUGUUGGCUUAGAAGCAGCCAUCAUUUAAAGAAAGC
Molecule: ribosomal RNA, 592 nt
Filed under: Cobetia crustatorum
Lineage: Bacteria; Pseudomonadati; Pseudomonadota; Gammaproteobacteria; Oceanospirillales; Halomonadaceae
Description: partial 23S ribosomal RNA
Rfam family: Bacterial large subunit ribosomal RNA
Source: RNAcentral